Molecule: ribosomal RNA, 696 nt
Filed under: uncultured bacterium
Lineage: Bacteria
Description: bacterial SSU rRNA
Rfam family: Bacterial small subunit ribosomal RNA
Source: RNAcentral
UNUGGUCUGUCACUGACGCUGAGGCUCGAAAGCGUGGGUAGCAAACAGGAUUAGAUACCCUGGUUGUNCACGCCGUAAACGAUGAGUGCUAGGUGUUAGGCCCUUUUCCGGGGCUUAGUGCCGGAGCUAACGCAAUAAGCACUCCGCCUGGGGAGUACGACCGCAAGGUUGAAACUCAAAGGAAUUGACGGGGGCCCGCACAAGCGGUGGAGCAUGUGGUUUAAUUCGAAGCAACGCGAAGAACCUUACCAGGUCUUGACAUCCCGAUGCUAUUCUUAGAGAUAGGAAGUUACUUCGGUACAUCGGAGACAGGUGGUGCAUGGUUGUCGUCAGCUCGUGUCGUGAGAUGUUGGGUUAAGUCCCGCAACGAGCGCAACCCUUAUUGUUAGUUGCCAUCAUUAAGUUGGGCACUCUAGCGAGACUGCCGGUAAUAAACCGGAGGAAGGUGGGGAUGACGUCAAAUCAUCAUGCCCCUUAUGACCUGGGCUACACACGUGCUACAAUGGUCGGUACAACGAGUUGCGAGCCGGUGACGGCAAGCUAAUCUCUGAAAGCCGAUCUCAGUUCGGAUUGGAGGCUGCAACUCGCCUCCAUGAAGUCGGAAUCGCUAGUAAUCGCGGAUCAGCACGCCGCGGUGAAUACGUUCCCAGGCCUUGUACACACCGCCCGUCACACCACGAGAGUUUGUAACACCCG